Myotis lucifugus (little brown bat) is the source of this 586-nucleotide long non-coding RNA. RefSeq lists it as uncharacterized. NCBI's taxonomy places the organism in Eukaryota, Metazoa, Chordata, Mammalia, Chiroptera, Vespertilionidae. The transcript is spliced from 3 exons. The record is from RefSeq and is a predicted model, not a curated record.
CCAGAGGGUCCGCAAAUCUGAGCCUCUGUCCUCGCGGCCGAUCCCUUGCCCACGGCUACCCGACCCCCGGAAAUCGGAACCGCAGCGUCACCAUCUCAGAAUUCCCGGCGUCGACGCGCAUCUUCUCUGACACCUCCAACUCGAACCCAGCUGAAGUAUCUUCAGAGAGCCUUCUGUGAUGUUCUCAGCUCAGGGCCAUCCCUUCCUCAUUUCAUCCUCUGAAUCCGGCAAACGCCUAGCAACUCUCAUAGGAAAUGUGUCUCCCAAGGCUGAAUGCAAAUGUGAAAAAAUAAUAGUGUGCAAGGAAUCCACACACCUUCUCUCAAGCCAGACCUGAGUCAUUUCUGACAAAUGUGAUGAGAAUACAACCAUCACCACCAAAAAAUACCCACAAUACUCAGCUGAAAAGCCUCAUUUUCUCCAGCUGCUGUCUCCAGAGCCACCUGAGAGUGGAAUGGAAAGGGAUUGAUCCAAUGGUGCUCAGAUGGGUGGGCUUCAGAACCACCUGGAAGGCUUGCUAAAACAGGUUUCUGGGCCCCACCCCAGAGUUUCUGAGUCAGUAAGCCUUACAGCAAUCAUGUCAAAC